This 107-nucleotide small nuclear RNA is filed under the name Vicugna pacos (alpaca). Lineage: Eukaryota; Metazoa; Chordata; Mammalia; Artiodactyla; Camelidae. The record is from RNAcentral.
GUGCUUGCUUAGGCAGCACAUAUACUAAAAUUGGACCUAUACAGAGAAGAUUAGCAUGGCCCAUGCACAAGGAUGACACACAAAUUCAUGAAGCAUUCCAUACACUU